Molecule: non-coding RNA, 810 nt
Filed under: Odontotermes sp. BDIT9-1.3A
Lineage: Eukaryota; Metazoa; Arthropoda; Insecta; Blattodea; Termitidae
Source: RNAcentral
GAGGAGUUUUAUUCUUGCUUUUGUUGUUCAGUGUUUGCUUGUCCUAUAUGUAAGUUUUUGCGUUUGUUUUGAUUUAUCUCUAAAUGGGUUGAUUUCAUGAUAUUUUAAUUUUCAUUAGUUGUUAUUGGUUGGUUAGGUUUUCUUUUAUCCAGCAAUGCAUUUUAGUUUCGGUUAAAUUUUGUGCCAGCAGCCGCGGUUAUACCUUGGAGGCGUUUGAAUUGGUUUGGUGUAGUAGUUUUAUGUUUGUGUUUGGCUUUUUAUUGGUGGGUUUUGUGGGGUGAAAUCUUUUACUUUUGGUUAAUGUUCGUUGUUUGUUUGGAGGCUGCGAAACUCUCGUUUGUAGACUAGGAUUAGAUACCCUAUUAUUUUGAGUGUUAAUUUUAUUUGCCUGAGUAGUAUUAGUUGUGUUCUUGAAACUUAAAGAAUUUGGCGGUAUCUUACUCCAUUCAGAGGAAUCUGUCUCGUUAUCGAUAGUCCGCGUUGGACCUUACUUGGAUUAUUUUGGUUUGUAUACCGCCGUUUAUUGAUCAUCUUUUUAGGGUGUUAAAUUUUCUGGUUUCUUUAUUUUGAUUUAUUGCAGGUCAAGGUGCAGCCUUUUUCAAGUGUAAUGAUGGAUUACAGUGGUAUGUGUUGUUUGGAUUAUUUGGUUUUAAUACUGAUAUGAAAUUGGAUUUGGUUGUAAUGUUUUGUAGAUUGUUUUCAUGAUAAUUGGUUCUAGGAUAUGUACACAUCGCCCGUCGCUCUCAUUUGUUUUGUUGGUGAGAUAAGUCGUAACAAAGUGGCUGUACCGGAAGGUGUGGCUGGAAUGAU